RNAcentral lists this ribosomal RNA (363 nucleotides) under uncultured eukaryote. RNAcentral describes it as "partial 18S ribosomal RNA". It matches the Rfam family "Eukaryotic small subunit ribosomal RNA", at positions 592 to 976 of the family's 1831-position model. The record is from RNAcentral.
CAAUAGCGUAUAUUAAAGUUGUUGCAGUUAAAAAGCUCGUAGUUGAAUUUCUGCUGUGGCGACCUUGCGUUGCUUUGCGACUGCUCGUGUUGCGGCAGCAUUCUUCACUGAGUCCACUUCUAUGUGCGACUCAAUGGAGGUUUUACUUUGAGAAAAAUAGAGUGUUUCAAGCAGGCUGUGCCUUGAAUACUGCAGCAUGGAAUAAUGAAAUAGACCUGCAUUCUUGUUUCGUUGGUUCUGAAGAAUGAGUGAUGAUUAAUAGGGAUGGUUGGGGGUAUUUGUAUUCCACUGUCAGAGGUGAAAUUCUUAGAUUUGUGGGGGACAGACAACUGCGAAAGCAUCUACCAAGGACAUUCNCAUUAA